AAAAUGGCCCUUUUCAGGGCCAAUUCAAUUUAAAUUUCUUUUUAAU
Culex pipiens (northern house mosquito) is the source of this 46-nucleotide non-coding RNA. The record is from Rfam. Lineage: Eukaryota; Metazoa; Arthropoda; Insecta; Diptera; Culicidae.